AAUCCUAACCCUUUCUCUCGUUAAAUCAACAGACCAGAUCAAUUCUAUAAAUCUUCCCUAUUUUAGCUCUAAGAGAUAAAACCCUAAAACUCUAUCCUCUCUUCCUCUCCCUCUCCAGUGCAGCCUCCCUCUCUCCUUCUUCUAGGAGGCAGCAGCGCCGCUACUCUUUCUCCUCCACGACGAGCUCCGGCGAAAUGUGUCCGACGCCGUCCUCUUUCUCCUCUCUCGCCUGACCCUUUCCCUUUACCCUCGCUCUUCCACCUUCUCCUCUCUCCUCUCUUCUCCAGGCCAGGUGAGGAGAAUAACAGAAUCUCCAACGACAGUAAGCAACAGUAAUUGGAGAGAACUAGCGAGGCAGUGCAGCCAGCAGCUCCGGCGAUGCAGUGAAACCAGGCUAGACUCACCGGCCAGGAUCUUGAUUUUAGAGUUCAAGGUUUUAAAGAAUCCUUUUUUUAGAGGCGAAAUCAGAAUUUUCAAGAAGAGGGUUCAAACUCGAUAAAGGGGGUUUAACAUCUACUAUAUAUACAUAAAAAAUUAUUUUAACCAUGUAUAAGUAAUAUAAUUUUUCGCCGAAGGGGAUUCGAAUGAACCCUCUUGGUUCAAGGUGGCUCCUCCCCUGGUCGCUUUGGAGAAGAUGUCGAUGGAUUUUAGUUUCUUUGUGUAUCUCUUUCGGUUUUAUUUUGGUUUUGCAAUAAUUUGUAUAAAACUGUAACUCUAGUAUAUAUGUGCAAAUAAAUUUGAGGGAUCAUCUAAGGAAGGAGAAAUUACGUACUAA
This is a long non-coding RNA of Solanum lycopersicum (tomato), 775 nucleotides long. RefSeq lists it as uncharacterized. The record is from RefSeq and is a predicted model, not a curated record. NCBI's taxonomy places the organism in Eukaryota, Viridiplantae, Streptophyta, Magnoliopsida, Solanales, Solanaceae.